This 465-nucleotide ribosomal RNA is filed under the name Vreelandella stevensii. Its description in RNAcentral is "partial 16S ribosomal RNA". It matches the Rfam family "Bacterial small subunit ribosomal RNA", at positions 338 to 795 of the family's 1533-position model. Lineage: Bacteria; Pseudomonadati; Pseudomonadota; Gammaproteobacteria; Oceanospirillales; Halomonadaceae. The record is from RNAcentral.
CCUACGGGAGGCAGCAGUGGGGAAUAUUGCACAAUGGGGGGAACCCUGAUGCAGUCAUGCCGCGUGUGUGAAGAAGGCCCUCGGGUUGUAAAGCACUUUCAGUGAGGAAGAACGCCUGGUGGUUAAUACCCAUCAGGAAAGACAUCACUCACAGAAGAAGCACCGGCUAACUCCGUGCCAGCAGCCGCGGUAAUACGGAGGGUGCGAGCGUUAAUCGGAAUUACUGGGCGUAAAGCGCGCGUAGGUGGCUUGAUAAGCCGGUUGUGAAAGCCCCGGGCUCAACCUGGGAACGGCAUCCGGAACUGUCGAGCUAGAGUGCAGGAGAGGAAGGUAGAAUUCCCGGUGUAGCGGUGAAAUGCGUAGAGAUCGGGAGGAAUACCAGUGGCGAAGGCGGCCUUCUGGACUGACACUGACACUGAGGUGCGAAAGCGUGGGUAGCAAACAGGAUUAGAUACCCCUGUAGUC